Molecule: non-coding RNA, 285 nt
Organism: Pelobates cultripes (western spadefoot toad)
Lineage: Eukaryota; Metazoa; Chordata; Amphibia; Anura; Pelobatidae
Source: the annotation of a GenBank genome assembly
CCACAUUCCAUUUUACUGUAACUGAAGGAACACUCCUACCAUCAUAACAAUUUUACCUCAUUGAAGUUAUGGGGCAGGAGUGUCACGGCACCAUCUUACUUUCAGGGGGUAUAAAAAUAAAAAAUAUCGAUUUUAGGUUGAUCCUCUGGCAGUUAACACAACUGUCACCCAACUUCCUUCCAAGAAAUUAAAAUGUGAAAGACAUAACUUAUUCUUACAGUGACAUUCUAGGCACCAUAACAACUACUUAAUGAUGAAGUGGUUAUGGUGCCAGGCGUCCCCAGG